This 483-nucleotide ribosomal RNA is filed under the name uncultured bacterium. RNAcentral describes it as "partial 16S ribosomal RNA". It matches the Rfam family "Bacterial small subunit ribosomal RNA", at positions 28 to 507 of the family's 1533-position model. The record is from RNAcentral.
GACGAACGCUGGCGGCGUGCUUAACACAUGCCAGUCGAACGCUGAAGCUCAGCUUUUGUUGGGUGGAUGAGUGGCGAACGGGUGAGUAACACGUGAGUAACCUGCCCCCUUCUUUGGGAUAACGCCCGGAAACGGGUGCUAAUACUGGAUAUUCACUGGUCUUCGCAUGGGGGCUGGUGGAAAGGGUUUUUCUGGUGGGGGAUGGGCUCGCGGCCUAUCAGCUUGUUGGUGGGGUGAUGGCCUACCAAGGCUUUGACGGGUAGCCGGCCUGAGAGGGUGACCGGUCACAUUGGGACUGAGAUACGGCCCAGACUACUACGGGAGGCAGCAGUGGGGAAUAUUGCACAAUGGGCGCAAGCCUGAUGCAGCGACGCCGCGUGAGGGAUGGAGGCCUUCGGGUUGUGAACCUCUUUCGCUCAUGGUCAAGCCGCAACAAUGGUUGUGGUGAGGGUAGUGGGUAAAGAAGCGCCGGCUAACUACGUG